This 814-nucleotide ribosomal RNA is filed under the name Pseudogymnoascus sp. Its description in RNAcentral is "partial large subunit ribosomal RNA". It matches the Rfam family "Eukaryotic large subunit ribosomal RNA", at positions 85 to 920 of the family's 3401-position model. The record is from RNAcentral. Lineage: Eukaryota; Fungi; Ascomycota; Leotiomycetes; Thelebolales; Thelebolaceae.
AACGGCGAGUGAAGCGGUAACAGCUCAAAUUUGAAAUCUGGCCUCACGGUCCGAGUUGUAAUUUGUAGAGGAUGCUUCGAGCAUGGUCUGGCCUAAGUUCCUUGGAACAGGACGUCAUAGAGGGUGAGAAUCCCGUAUGCGGCCAGGUGCCUACGCUCAUGUGAAGCUCCUUCGACGAGUCGAGUUGUUUGGGAAUGCAGCUCAAAAUGGGUGGUAAAUUUCAUCUAAAGCUAAAUAUUGGCCAGAGACCGAUAGCGCACAAGUAGAGUGAUCGAAAGAUGAAAAGCACUUUGGAAAGAGAGUUAAACAGUACGUGAAAUUGUUGAAAGGGAAGCGCUUGCAACCAGACUUGCGCGCGGCCGAUCAUCCGGUGUUCUCACCGGUGCACUCGGCCGUGCUCAGGCCAGCAUCGGUUUUGGCGGCUGGAUAAAGGCCCUAGGAAUGUAGCUCCUCUCGGGGAGUGUUAUAGCCUAGGGUGCAAUGCAGCCUGCUGGGACCGAGGACCGCGCUUCGGCUAGGAUGCUGGCGUAAUGGUUGUAAGCGGCCCGUCUUGAAACACGGACCAAGGAGUCUAACAUCUAUGCGAGUGUUUGGGUGUCAAACCCAUACGCGUAAUGAAAGUGAACGGAGGUGAGAACCCUUAAGGGUGCAUCAUCGACCGGUCCUGAAGUUUACGGAAGGAUCUGAGUAAGAGCAUAGCUGUUGGGACCCGAAAGAUGGUGAACUAUGCCUGAAUAGGGUGAAGCCAGAGGAAACUCUGGUGGAGGCUCGCAGCGGUUCUGACGUGCAAAUCGAUCGUCAAAUUUGGGUAUAG